Sinocyclocheilus grahami is the source of this 97-nucleotide long non-coding RNA. RefSeq lists it as uncharacterized. Lineage: Eukaryota; Metazoa; Chordata; Actinopteri; Cypriniformes; Cyprinidae. The record is from RefSeq and is a predicted model, not a curated record. The transcript has 3 exons.
AUAAAUGCACGCGUCCCCGCCCGAGAGGGAGGGUCGGCGCUGGUUCGCAUGUAUUAGCUCUGGAAUUGCCACAGUUAUCCAAUUAGAUCGGAAGAGG